GGAUGUGAGGGUGAUCUGCCUGGUCACCUGUCAUCCCACUGAUCAACAGGGCUGGCCUGGGUGCUCUUUGGGCCACAUGGGCGUCCCCUUUCUUCCCCCCUGCUCCAUGUGUGUCCCUUUCAAAGCUGCAUGCUUGCUCCGUUAGAGGAUGACUACUCUCAACAGAGGACCACCUCCUUGCAAAGGAGGAGGUGUGCAUCUCUGCUCGAACUCCAACAUGCUGUCAAGGGGUGCCCUGGGUGCCCAAGAAUACACUGUUCAGAAGCCUCUCCUGGACAAUAGGCACCUG
This 289-nucleotide small nuclear RNA is filed under the name Octodon degus (degu). RNAcentral's name for it is "7SK RNA (ENSODEG00000022506.1)". It matches the Rfam family "7SK RNA". Rfam says of the family: 7SK was discovered as an abundant small nuclear RNA in the mid-70s but a possible function has only recently been suggested. Lineage: Eukaryota; Metazoa; Chordata; Mammalia; Rodentia; Octodontidae. The record is from RNAcentral.